This is a long non-coding RNA of Aquila chrysaetos chrysaetos, 1915 nucleotides long. RefSeq lists it as uncharacterized. The record is from RefSeq and is a predicted model, not a curated record. The transcript is spliced from 4 exons. NCBI's taxonomy places the organism in Eukaryota, Metazoa, Chordata, Aves, Accipitriformes, Accipitridae.
UUCCCCUUUUGUGUUUUUAAUCAGGCCUAAUUCCAGUAAUUGACUAGGCAGAAUUUAGGUGCUUUUGUCCAAAAUGUGUGAUGACGCUGCUCAGCUGCUGCCUGACUUCUUGGGAAAUCUGCUCAGAGGCGAGAGUGGCAGAGAAGCAGAGAAAAGCUGAGGAUGCGCAAGCUUGAGUGUGGAAUUGUGGCUUGGUCUCUACUACUGACAGUAGACAAUGAAUUUUGCAAAUUCAGAAUUAAAUGGGAGAAUAUCAUUACUAGGACUCUUAGGCCUGAAGAUUGUCUGGUCUGACUUCAUGUGUGGCAAGCCAGAGAGUGAAGGAGUAUAGCUGCUCCUAUUCCAAAGCCCUUGUAAGGCAAGGAGGAGACUACAGAGUUUAAGAAACCUGACCUAAGGAAGAGUGAAUAAAGAAAGGUUGUUAAAAUCCUGCAUGCAAAAUGCGAAGGGAAGAUUUUCAAGGUCUUUAGAAGAUGUUGAGGCAAAGCUUACCAAAGGACUGCAUGCACCUAAAUCACUCCAGAAGACCUUCUCAAGAAAAUAACUUUUGAACUGUAUGAAUACUUCCUUUUCUUAUAGACAAACUCUUUGGCAUCUUCAACGUCCAUACUGAAAAUAAAUGCCAUCUAGAUGAAGAUCUUGCUUUGUAUCUGUGGACUUCAUUUUGAGUUGGAACUCUGAAGCAAUGUUUAAAGGGCACUCCUGAAUCAAUGAAAAAAGACCAUCUUGGCCCUGCCUUGUCCUCUGCCUGGUUCCUGGGCUGGAGAAGGGUAAGGCUGAGGACCACCCAGGACCUUAGUACCCAUGCAGCCUUUGCACUGAUCACCACAAUGCCAGAGCACUUGGAGUCACUAGGAAGAGUAGAACCACAUGCUAACAAAGCUUGUUCAUUGGUGGUGCUUGCCUGCUGGGUUGUUGGUUUAAGUUAUAGAAACAGUGAUCUCCACCGUCUUAAUUCCCUCAUAGCCUUAAUUAUGAGUGUUAACCAGUCCCUUUGUGCUGGGGCACGGGCUCCUGGAAUACCAGUUCUUACACCUAAUUUGUGCAACAUUCUUUUUUGCCGCACAAACCCCAUGCUGAAUUUCAAGUUCAAAAUAUUUUACCCUUUUACUCUGCACAGCUUUGAUUUCUGCAUGCAUAAAGCUACAGACUGUGUAAAAAAAAAAACAGAGACAAUGAUUUUUGGGAACAUCCUUCAUACCUUUCAUGUUCUGUGAAUACUCCUUAGUUUCAUCCAGAGGAUCUCAAAAGAUAUCAGCCAGAAAAUUUCUCUUGAAGUCUUGAUUAUUUUAGGUAGCCACCUUUGCAGGUGAGUAUUCAGUUCUUGGCUUUUUGCUCAGCGCCCUGGAAGCCUGUCUGAACCGAGAAACGUUGGCCGUGGCAUGGUGUUGGAACUGAGGCUGAAACUGUACAUUUUUUCACUGUGUUCCUGGACUUUUGCUAAGCUUUGGUUUUGUUUCUCUGUGACCUGCAAAAUUUGUCUGUCCCUUUGUGACAGCGGUGGGAGGCAGGGGAGGUCAAAGCUGGGUUUUUGGUCUUUGGUGGUUCUUAUGACCAUAACUGUGGAGCUUUGUACAGAUUUUCAGAAGUAGUCAUGUCUCAAUAAAAGGGGAUGUGUUCCAGAUCAGCACUUUAUAUGCACUUUACAAAAAUUAUAAAAUCUGAAUGCCAUGGUGAGACUCUAUAUGAUCCAGGUAAGACGCUGCCUCCUACCUGUCACCUCACUUAUUGUAUGGACUUUGCCAUAUGUGAUACUCUGCAAGCCUCAAGAGUAAAUCCACUACAGGGCAACAUUUACUGGCUUUUAAAAGGACUCUGAUUAAUGACAAAGCCCUGUGAAUAAACCUUUUUUGAUGUCUCUUCUGUCUUGUUUAUUCAGAUUGCUGCCAAAGCUAUCUCUCCUGUCCUGACAAUA